AGAUACAAACUGCUUAUCUGCCCACAACAGGAGAAUAUUUUCCAUAUACUUCCCCAGAUGCAGUAACCAAAGACAUUUUAAGUUGUUCAGCAAGGAGUUGUAUUUGCUGAACAUGCAGCUAUGUUGCUUUUAAAAGUAGGGCAUAGAUAACUUUAACCAUGAAUCACUGAAUAAGUUAUUGAUUGAAUGCUCCAGACUGGAGUGUCGAAACUUCACUGGAUAUACAGUUUGAUGAAACCUAGAAUGAUACAAAUGCUGAAAAAUGAGUAUGUUGUAUAAAAUUCAAUCAGUUGUAGUCAGCAAUACCUUUGAAAAAACCAGGGAGAACUAAUCUCUCCCUCCCCCUGGACCUCUAUUUAGAGACCCUAGUUUCUGAUUCAUGGUUCUUCUAUGUGGCAUUUGGGCAAAGAAACUGGCUGAAACACAACAGCUGAAAAUGAAGAAUUCUGAAUUUUUGCUGAUGCCAGUAUAACAUCCUAAAUAUCAAUUCAGCUAAUAAAGAUUAUACUUCAAGUUAUGGGUGAAAAAGAAAGAAAUAAAGAGGAAAAAAUGCUUCUUUCAGUGCAAAAGAAAAUCCACAUCAAGAUACAUUUAUCUGUGGAAUUUGAGAUAUAUCUCCUUCUCUGGUCAACAUUAUAUUCAAAUAAUUUGAGUAUCUGCAACUAUUUUUUUCUGAUGCUUUUCUGUGAGCAAUUUAAAUGUUUUCUGUAAUAAACAGCACUACUGCAGAUUUCCUUGAUAAAUACAACUAAAAAAUUACAGGAAGUGUACUUCCCCUGAAUAUUUGAUACAUCUAUGAAGAAAAUACCUGUGAAAGCUACAAAAGUCACACAUAGCCACACAUGAGGGCAUCUGAGUCUUACUCUCCCUUCAGUUUUGAUAUUGCAUCCCAAUCUGUGUCAUAUUGCUUUAUUUUCUAGUGGAUAUGCAUUUUCUGGUGCUCCCUGGUGUAUCCAUCCCCAUUCACUAGAGAUGUCAAUCUCAGUUGAGUUUGGGAAAGAAGAAACUAGGGUAAAUGAGAAACUAGAUACUUCAAAGAUCUAUUUUGUACUUCCCUACUAAUAAUCCUUUCAUAGCCUGAUCCAUCUUCAUAUACAUGCAGUUAAUACUAUUGCUUUUUUGGGAAGUAGAAAAUCCCCUUUGCAAGUGUUUGUUUGUUGGCCUAGAUACCCUGCUUUAGAUUGGUAUUUUAGUGUUUCACCCUUUCUGGUGAGUUUUCACACAGCCAGACAUAUCUGACACUUGGAUCUCUCAGGAGAGACACACACCUGGGACUUGCUUCAAAAAAAACUUUGAUGAGGCUGUAAGCAUACACAUUCCUGCAGAGACCAUUCAAAAACAUCAGACUGGGCUCUGGGACACCGUACUGGCAUUAAGAUUCAAAUCCACAUGGCUGAAAUAGAUUUUCCUCUAGUUUGAUGUUGUAUACAAAAAAAAUGGUUUUUAUUUCAACACUUAGUGAAAAGAAAUAGUUUUGAACCAGAAAGAAAAUGAAUAUACUUUUACAGCCUAGAGCUGUAUGACUAAAUCUCAGAGAGGAGAUAAGGGUAAAGUGUCAAAAAAUAUUAUUCCUGUCUACUUUUAGUCACUGUCUGUCACUUACUGAGAGACAGUCUUGAGUAAUGCAUCUAGUUUGGGACAUUAAAGUUUCUGUAAAAUGUAAAUACACCAUAAAGAAAGUGAAGGAGGAUAAUAUUGAGAGGCUUUGAAUGAGAGAUUGGUGGUGAACAGUUUAAGGACUUAUCCUCCUUUUGCCUCAAAGUUAAUACCACAAAUUCUGGAUGGUAGAAAAAAAAUGUGACAAAAGAUAAGGAGGCUGAAAGACUUGCAUUGGAGUAAGACAAGAAAAUUAAAAAAUCAGUUUGAUAGAAGCAUGGUAGGACAGUAGGAGAAUUUAGAAUGUUCAGUACAACAGAGUUUUAAAUAAAAGGCCAUCAAAAUAAAACCAGGCUAAGGAAAAUGAAGCAGUUGCUUAGGCUGUCUAGGUGGACUACAGAAUCUGUCUCUCUGAAGGCUUAUAAACCAGAUUAAAAUAACCCUAGAUAUAAUUAUCCUUCUUCUCACAGGACAUGGAGGGGUGGACUGGGUGACUUCCUGAAGUCUCUUUGAAAAAUACAUAUUUUCAAUACCACAAAUGAAUGAAAAUAUCAAUAUAAAUGUGACUAAAUAGAAAAUAAAGCUUUUUUGCUCCAUUUC
Long non-coding RNA from Gallus gallus (chicken), 2196 nucleotides. NCBI's taxonomy places the organism in Eukaryota, Metazoa, Chordata, Aves, Galliformes, Phasianidae. The record is from Ensembl.